RNAcentral lists this long non-coding RNA (380 nucleotides) under Elaeis guineensis (African oil palm). Its description in RNAcentral is "long non-coding RNA (EGUI_LNC005682)". Lineage: Eukaryota; Viridiplantae; Streptophyta; Magnoliopsida; Arecales; Arecaceae. The record is from RNAcentral.
CGGAUGAUUUAAAUCAUCGACAUAACAGAACUACUAGCCGACGGUCGCUCAUAGCUUCUACCGAUGUAUGGUCGGUUCUACCGACAUAUGGUCGAUCAGUCAACUCAGAUAUACUAUAACCAUCAUGAACGGUUAUCGACCGCAUAUCACGGUGCAAUCAAUGAAAAUUAACGAUCCACUAUGUGAUUAUAGUCCAAUGAUUUAGCACCAUAAAAUAUGGGACCACAUCCGACGAUUACGAAAAUCUUAUCUAUAAAAGAAGUAAGAAAAAUGGGACUGGUAAGCCAACUCGGGGCCAAAAUUCUGCUGUUGUUUACAUUCAACUCCUGUUCUCCAACUUUCCUCUCUGAUUUAGGCAUCGGAGGAUCCCCGCCGGACAC